This is a long non-coding RNA of Cyprinus carpio (common carp), 441 nucleotides long. RefSeq lists it as uncharacterized. Lineage: Eukaryota; Metazoa; Chordata; Actinopteri; Cypriniformes; Cyprinidae. The record is from RefSeq and is a predicted model, not a curated record. The transcript is spliced from 2 exons.
UAACAGUUUUUAUUAUUAGUAUAAGUUAACAAUACAAAACUGGCUAGAGCAAGAAUCACUAUUACAUUUGAUCUUACAUUAGAGUACUAAAUAUAUCUUAACCGCUAACAACCAUUUGUUGCUUUGUUUGUUUUAUUGUCCCUUGUGGUUAUAGCAACAUUUGAACUGUUGUUGACUAAAAAUUGCUGAAUGGCUGUUAGAACUUUCAUUUCUUCUUAGCAUCUUAAAUAGAAUAUGAUUAAGUCACACAUAGUGUCAAACCAAAUUCUGUGUAUAUUUUUUCAGAAAUAUUCCCUUAGCAAGCAAAGGCAGCUGUGAAAGGAAGUUGUGGCAGAGGGAAUCACACAUUGACGACCCACCCAUAUGAUGUAAAUUGUGGUUGAUCUGGAGCACUGAACCCUCAUGUCACAAUGGGAGUUCCUGUCACAUUACUGACAAAAG